This is an RNA transcript of Electrophorus electricus (electric eel), 115 nucleotides long. It is a transcript of the gene named scavenger receptor cysteine-rich type 1 protein M130-like, with no coding region annotated. The record is from RefSeq and is a predicted model, not a curated record. Lineage: Eukaryota; Metazoa; Chordata; Actinopteri; Gymnotiformes; Gymnotidae.
GAGGAUGCUGGAGUCACCUGUGCAGACCCAUAUGUGUCUCCUACAACUGCACCCAGAACAACCACAAGCACCUCCACCUUUACAGAUGUUCAGAAGACAUCCAGUCCUCUACAAA